Molecule: long non-coding RNA, 1399 nt
Filed under: Felis catus (domestic cat)
Lineage: Eukaryota; Metazoa; Chordata; Mammalia; Carnivora; Felidae
Description: lncRNA (ENSFCAG00000047908.1)
Source: RNAcentral
AUGACCGCAGCCCUGCCAGACCUGGAGGACGGUCUCGUAAGGAUCCCAGAGCCAGAAGACCUAGCUGAGCCAGACCCAUACAAAGUGAAAGAUAAUUUACAUUGUUGUUUCCAAGCCUCUAAGUUUUGGAGUAAUUGGUUAUGCAGCAAUAGGAAACUGAUACAUUGGGUCACAAAAAGUGUUUACCUUCUUACUAUCAUCCUUACAGAUGAAUACAGUAGCCUUGUUAUCUCUUCGUCUCCCAGCUUUCUCUCCACAGUCCACGGUCCCUCAAUAUCCAGCCAACCUCAAGUCCACAGGGCUCCCGUGACGUCCGAUAUCUUUGUUCACGGGAAGGCAUGGAGGACCCGAAUGGACGGGACCUGCCUGUUCGGUUCAGCAGGGAUUCAAAAACAUUGACUCGAUGCCUCAUUGCAAGAGCAAACGUUGUACUCAGCAACGCUCUACGUCAGGUGCUGGUGCUCAGCUAUGCUGACCCCCGAUGUCCCAGGUAGUUCCUUCCAAGCAUCUUAGGAUCCAGGCCCUAGUGUUAUGCUGUCAGACCAAAGACAUUGGGGCUUGGAGACGCGAGGAAAUUUGCUCUUUCUCGGCCAUACAGAGUAGUAAUUGGCAGCAGCAGGUCCGGGUCUGUCUGAUUCAGGAGCUGCAUUUCUUUUCUUUUUCUUUUUUCUUCUUAAUGUUUAUUUUUGAGACCGAGAGACAGAGCGUGAGCGGGGAAGGGGCAGAGAGAGAGAGGGAGACACAGAAUGCGAAGGAGGCUCCAGGCUCCGAGCUGUCAACCCAGAGCCCGACGCGGGGCUCGAACUCACGGACCGCGGGAUCACGACCUGAGCCGAAGUCGGACGCUUAACCGACCGAGCCACCCAGGCGCCCCCACGGGAGAUGCAUGUCCAACCACUGCACAACGUUACCUACUUCAUGCCAGACCCUCGCCCGGGAGUCUGAGAUGCAGUUGUGAAUCGCAGGAGAUCCUUGUCGCGGAAAAUGCUGUAACCCUACUGGGUUGACAUCCUAUUCGUACUUAAAAAAAAAAAGUGUUUAUUUGAAUGAGUUGCAUGGUCCCGAAUUGCAAAAAAAAAAAAAAAAAAAAAAAAAUGAAAGGGGGUCCCGAAUUGCAAAAAAAAAAAAUAUGAAAGGGUACACAGUGAAAAGUGAGUGUCCCUUUCAUCCUGUUCUAGAGCCCCUAGCUAUUUACCUUCUCAUUAAAUAGCAGAAAACGAGUACUCCCCUCCUCCUUUCGCAACCAGGAAACACUGUCGAAGCGAAUGGAACGUGUAAAAGAGAUUGAAAGGCGACGCCAAGCGUCCUGUGUUCAUCAUGCGCUACGGACGCUGAGCAGGGCAGGGCCAACUUGAACCACAGGGUCAGGCCACCAAGACGCGAGAGGCGAGAGCCUCAA